CACAGUUUAAUACAUCUUCCCAGUCAAUUCACAGAUAUUGCUGAGUGGAUGGGUUGAGGCACCUAUCACCAUGACAAUAAGAUCUGUAAACAGACAUAUUAACUUCAAAUCUACACAUAAUAUAAUGAAUCCUGUUGCUGCAGGAUGCAAGAACAGGGAGGGAAAGGAAGAAUAUGCCAUGAUUGGAAGAGGUGACUAAGAGUGAGUGCUUUCCUCAGUCCCUGGCUUCCCCAUGAUGGUAUAUUUUCUCUAAACAGCCUGAUCUUGGUUCUUUGGAGAGGGUUGGUUAUUGGCAAUCAGAACACAGAUGAGCCAGGAAUUCUAAGUGCAUUCAGUGAAAAUUAUUGCAAUUAGUGGUAGUGGCUCAUCACUUUGUUUUUCAGCAUAUCUCAUUUGGCAGACCAGGGUCAAGCUGGAAUGUACAGAAUAACACAUUUUCAAAAAUUAAAAUAUGGUAGACUUAAUUCUAUUUUAGAGAAAAUAAGCUCUUUUCACAGGGUAUUGACAAGAAAUCUAGGGCAUGUUAUAAAAUCUGUAUCAGAUAAUAUGAAUUAGUAGUAUCAUCUGUAUUAGUAGUUUAUCAAUUACAAUUUUAGAGUGGACAAAAUAAAAAAUUGUAUUUAAAUAAGAAAUGACUACAGAUUAUUGUUUAGUCUCCCAUAAACAAGAAAAUAAAAUGUGCCCAUGAUUAUUUGUUCAUCAUGAAUAUUUAGUGAUUGCUAAAUUAUGUCUCUCUACUUGUUCCAUAAUGUCUCCAGACAUGUGGUGGCAGUAUGCAUUGAAGGAUUGCCUGAAUGGAAAAAAUGUUCGUUCAUAAAUGAAUAACCCAAAAGAUGCAGUCUCACUAUGUUGCCCAGGCUGGUCUCAAACUUGUGGCCUCAAGCAAUCCUCUUGCUGAGUCUCUCAAGGAACCGAGAUUACAGUCUGAAAUUGGCUGACCAUGGAACAUCUAACCCGAAAACAUGCAUAUCCCUUUCAGAGGGCAAAAGUAAGUACAGGGUCUUAUAUUGUCUGGACUGCUCACUAAAUCAAUUUUAACUUUGAUUAGUAGAAUGGGAUAUCAUAGCAAAGAAUCACGGUAACAUACAGCAUGUAAAUGUUAGUGUUUAAUUAGCAAUGAAAUUACUAUUUCAAAAGCUUCUAAAGGUGGAAAUAUUGUCAUUUUAACGGACAAUAUACUGAUUUUCCACUAAUAUAUUUUGGUAUUUGUACUUCCUUUAUUAUUUUAAGAAAACUGGUAUGUUAUGUUGUGUGAUUACUUUUAAAAAUUCAAAC
RNAcentral lists this long non-coding RNA (1275 nucleotides) under Papio anubis (olive baboon). RNAcentral describes it as "lncRNA (ENSPANG00000047042.1)". The record is from RNAcentral. Lineage: Eukaryota; Metazoa; Chordata; Mammalia; Primates; Cercopithecidae.